RNAcentral lists this ribosomal RNA (328 nucleotides) under uncultured eukaryote. Its description in RNAcentral is "partial 18S ribosomal RNA". It matches the Rfam family "Eukaryotic small subunit ribosomal RNA", at positions 1470 to 1796 of the family's 1831-position model. The record is from RNAcentral.
CCCUUAGAUGUCCGGGGCUGCACGCGCGCUACACUGAAGGAAUCAGCGUGCUAAAACCAUUGUCGAAAGGCAUUGGUAAACCCAUUAAAAUCCUACGUGAUUGGGAUCGGGAAUUGCAAUUAUUUCCCUUGAACGAGGAAUUCCCAGUAAGUGUGGGUCAUAAGCUCGCGUUGAUUACGUCCCUGCCCUUUGUACACACCGCCCGUCGCUGCCCGGGACUGAGCCGUUUCGAGAAAAGCGGGGACUGCUGCUGUCGGGGCUUUCGGGCCUUGGCUUCGGUGGAAACCGCUUUAAUCGCAGUGGCUUGCACCGGGCAAAANUCGUAACA